Molecule: long non-coding RNA, 231 nt
Filed under: Durio zibethinus
Lineage: Eukaryota; Viridiplantae; Streptophyta; Magnoliopsida; Malvales; Malvaceae
Description: long non-coding RNA (DZIB_LNC001734)
Source: RNAcentral
GGAAAACGACUGCCUAAACUCUAAACCUUCUCUUCCGGUGGUUCUGUUCUGUUAAUCCCAAGAAUAUAUAGUUCUCAGCCUGACUCUUAUUUCUCUCCACAAUUCAUCACAUAAAAAUAAAGCUCUACCAGUUCAUAUGUUUAAAUCAUGGAGCAAAAAGCUGGACUCCUUUCAGUUGUUUUCUUAAAUAAUAAUAGUUAGCAUAUUAUUUCAAACAAGCAAUCUCUCUCU